RNAcentral lists this ribosomal RNA (35 nucleotides) under Pleuropterus multiflorus (tuber fleeceflower). RNAcentral describes it as "Fallopia multiflora partial 26S ribosomal RNA". The record is from RNAcentral. Lineage: Eukaryota; Viridiplantae; Streptophyta; Magnoliopsida; Caryophyllales; Polygonaceae.
GAGACCCCAGAUCAGGUGGGACUACCCGCUGAGUU